UACGUAGGGUGCAAGCGUUGUCCGGAAUUAUUGGGCGUAAAGAGCUCGUAGGCGGUCUGUCACGUCGAAUGUGAAAACCCGGGGCUCAACCCCGGGCCUGCAUUCGAUACGGGCAGACUAGAGUUCGGUAGGGGAGUCUGGAAUUCCUGGUGUAGCGGUGAAAUGCGCAGAUAUCAGGAGGAACACCGGUGGCGAAGGCGGGACUCUGGGCCGAUACUGACGCUGAGGAGCGAAAGCGUGGGGAGCAAACAGG
Molecule: unclassified non-coding RNA, 253 nt
Filed under: uncultured Frankiales bacterium
Lineage: Bacteria; Bacillati; Actinomycetota; Actinomycetes; Frankiales
Description: contains 16S-23S intergenic spacer region
Rfam family: Bacterial small subunit ribosomal RNA
Source: RNAcentral